Molecule: ribosomal RNA, 497 nt
Filed under: uncultured bacterium
Lineage: Bacteria
Description: partial 16S ribosomal RNA
Rfam family: Bacterial small subunit ribosomal RNA
Source: RNAcentral
GAUGAACGCUGGCGGCGUGCCUAAUACAUGCAAGUCGAGCGAACGGACGAGAAGCUUGCUUCUCUGAUGUUAGCGGCGGGCGGGUGAGUAACACGUGGAUAACCUACCUAUAAGACUGGGAUAACUUCGGGAAACCGGAGCUAAUACCGGAUAAUAUUUUGAACCGCAUGGUUCAAAAGUAAAAGACGGUCUUGCUGUCACUUAUUGAUGGAUCCGCGCUGCAUUAGCUAGUUGGUAAGGUAACGGCUUACCAAGGCAACGAUGCAUAGCCGACCUGAGAGGGUGAUCGGCCACACUGGAACUGAGACACGGUCCAGACUCCUACGGGAGGCAGCAGUAGGGAAUCUUCCGCAAUGGGCGAAAGCCUGACGGAGCAACGCCGCGUGAGUGAUGAAGGUCUUCGGAUCGUAAAACUCUGUUAUUAGGGAAGAACAUAUGUGUAAGUAACUGUGCACAUCUUGACGGUACCUAAUCAGAAAGCCACGGCUAACUACGUG